UUGAAAGGGAAACGAUUGAAGUCAGUCGUACCAGCGGGAAAUCAACCUUUCGAGUGGGGGUUUUGGAGUUUUGAAGUGUGUCAAAACCUUUGAGAUUUUAAAAUUUUCGCUCUUUUGGUGUACUUUCUCGUGGGUAGGUUAACAUCGAUUUUGAUCAUCAUAAAAAGACUGGAGGAAUGUAGCUUCGAUCUUGUAUUGAAGUGUUAUAGCCUUUGGUAAAUGUGAUGAUUAGGAUCGAGGAUUGCAACGAAUACCCUUCUGGGCUAUCCGCCUGAUCUCUGAUACGUGGCCUUGGCAUCGAAAGCUUGCUUAUGGUAUCAAGGUAUUACGGUCAAAAGGUUAGAACGGAUUACAUUCGUUAAGGAUGUUGACGUA
This 375-nucleotide ribosomal RNA is filed under the name uncultured Glomeromycotina. RNAcentral's name for it is "LSU rRNA". The record is from RNAcentral. Lineage: Eukaryota; Fungi; Glomeromycota.